This 253-nucleotide ribosomal RNA is filed under the name uncultured bacterium. Its description in RNAcentral is "partial 16S ribosomal RNA". It matches the Rfam family "Bacterial small subunit ribosomal RNA", at positions 524 to 776 of the family's 1533-position model. The record is from RNAcentral.
UACGUAGGGUGCGAGCGUUAAUCGGAAUUACUGGGCGUAAAGCGUGCGCAGGCGGUUCGUUAUGUCCGUUGUGAAAGCCCCGGGCUCAACCUGGGAAUGGCAAUGGAAACUGGCGGGCUAGAGUGUGGCAGAGGGGGGUGGAAUUCCGCGUGUAGCAGUGAAAUGCGUAGAGAUGCGGAGGAACACCGAUGGCGAAGGCAGCCCCCUGGGCUAGCACUGACGCUCAGGCACGAAAGCGUGGGGAGCAAACAGG